RNAcentral lists this ribosomal RNA (484 nucleotides) under uncultured bacterium. Its description in RNAcentral is "bacterial SSU rRNA". It matches the Rfam family "Bacterial small subunit ribosomal RNA", at positions 30 to 507 of the family's 1533-position model. The record is from RNAcentral.
AUUGAACGCUGGCGGCAUGCCUUACACAUGCAAGUCGAACGGCAGCACGGGAGCAAUCCUGGUGGCGAGUGGCGAACGGGUGAGUAAUAUAUCGGAACGUGCCCAGUCGUGGGGGAUAACGCAGCGAAAGCUGUGCUAAUACCGCAUACGAUCUAUGGAUGAAAGCGGGGGAUCGCAAGACCUCGCGCGAUUGGAGCGGCCGAUGUCAGAUUAGCUAGUUGGUGGGGUAAAGGCCCACCAAGCCGACGAUCUGUAGCUGGUCUGAGAGGACGACCAGCCACACUGGGACUGAGACACGGCCCAGACUCCUACGGGAGGCAGCAGUGGGGAAUUUUGGACAAUGGGCGCAAGCCUGAUCCAGCAAUGCCGCGUGCAGGAAGAAGGCCUUCGGGUUGUAAACUGCUUUUGUACGGAGCGAAAAGGCUCUCUCUAAUACAGGGGGCUCAUGACGGUACCGUAAGAAUAAGCACCGGCUAACUACGUG